RNAcentral lists this long non-coding RNA (2027 nucleotides) under Fragaria vesca (wild strawberry). RNAcentral's name for it is "long non-coding RNA (FVES_LNC003556)". Lineage: Eukaryota; Viridiplantae; Streptophyta; Magnoliopsida; Rosales; Rosaceae. The record is from RNAcentral.
ACAACUUCAAUAUAUUAACCCACAAAGUGUUAACUGUGAUCAGCUGAACAGAGUCAGGAGUCAGAACCAGAAGGGGUAUUACAGAAGACACAUAUCUUUUCAACUAAAACAUAUAGGAAAUCUUGAUAUGAAGCACAACAUACAAAGACAGAGAAGCUUGAAACGUGGGGAGCUCAACCAAAGAGGCUGGUCAGACUGGGAAGCUUGAUCUCUCCCUUCUUGGACAGAGGUAUGGUGAAGUUCCCAAUCACAGGAAGGUCAAUGGUGAGACCCAAUAUCAACUCAUAAUCAAUGUCCCAAUCUGCCCCAACAUCCUUACACAAGGUCGCCAACACACUAUGUGGCACCUUCACUGGUACCUCCAGAAUGGUAACAUCGCUUGCCUUAAUCGAUCCAGGGUCCGGAACUGUCCCAGCUACAAUCUCCCUGAAUAAACAACAAUCAUAUCCAAUCAAACCCAAGUUUUCUUCUACAUCAAGCAAUCAAACCCAAUAAGAACAUGAACAAAAUUAGUACCUGCCAACACAUUUGAGGGUGUAGGAGAUCUCGCAGAUGGGGAUGGAAUGAUCAUAAGGGUUCUUGACAUGAACCUUGCCGAGGUACUCCGCAGCAUCGAAGCUCACCUUCCUGAAGUCGACAUCUGUGAGCUCUGCUUCUGGCUUUUCUACGUUGCCCAGUUUCUCAGUCACGAAGUUCUUAGCCUUGUCAAAUAACCCAGCCAUUUCCUGAAGCACUGUAGUAACAAGAGAGAUGGAUGGAAGAAGAAAUAGAUAGAUCUAAGCCGGAAAGAUAGAGUAGUUUGGGGACUUUGAAUUUGUGAUUAGGGAAAUAGGAUCCUUGGGAAUAUAUACACGCAGGUGGUAGGCAUGGUAGUGGAGUGGGGUAUGUGGGUUUCUGACACGUGUCGUGAGGUUGCCGUGGAGACGCGUGACGGUGUGUACGUGUCAGUUGUGUUGCCUCCGUGUUUGGAGAUCUGUAAAUCCGGCCGACCAUAGUUGGAAAGAAAAUGGAGAAGGUGUGUACGGAAGUCAUGGCUAAGAUUUAGAUAUUUUAUUUUGUUCUCGUUACCGUGAACGUUAAAAGAGUCAUGGUCUGGGCAUCAAUGAGAGACACCCCAGCUGGGUCCUUGCUCUUUUGGUAACAUUUUCAUUGUUUGGUUCUUCUCUGACCUAUUUUUUAAGAAAAAUAAACAAGUUUCAUACUUUAGGACUUCUCACUUGCUAAAGUUUCCUACUUUACUUCUUACAACACAAGUAUCAUACUUACGAAUUCUUUCAAAAUCUCACAUUCGCCUCAUUAUCUUGUGCUUCUUGUAAUUGUGUUAGAUAACAAGAAACGGUGCAGAUGCUCAUCACAAGAUUGUCAUGGUUAUAAGCACACAAAUUCGUAAACUAUAUUUAUUUUCAAGAUUUCAUUCUUGCAGUGACGACUUCAAUAUAUUAACCCACAAAGUGUUAACUGUGAUCAGCUGAACAGAGUCAGGAGUCAGAACCAGCAGGGGUAUUACAGAAGCCAAACAUAUCUUUUCAACUAAAACACAUAGGAAAUCUUGAUAUGAAGCACAACAUACAAAGACAGAGAAGCUUGAAACUUGGGGAGCUCAACCAAAGAGGCUGGUGAGACUGGGAAGCUUGAUCUCUCCCUUCUUGGACAGAGGUAUGGUGAAAUUCCCAAUCACAGGAAGGUCAAUGGUGAGACCCAAUAUCAACUCAUAAUCAAUGUCCCAAUCUGCCCCAACAUCCUUACACAAGGUCGCCAACACACUAUGUGGCACCUUCACUGGUACCUCCAGAAUUGUAACAUCGCUUGCCUCAAUCGAUCCCGGGUCCGGAAUUUUCCCAGAUACAAUCUCCCUGAAUAACAAAACAAUCAUAUCCAAUCAAACCCUGGUUUUCUUCUACAUCAAGCAAUCAAAACCAAUAAGAAGAUAAACAAAAUUAGUACCUGCCAACACAUUUGAGGGUGUAGGAGAUCUCGCAGAUGGGGAUGGAGUGAUCAUAAGGGUUCUUGACAUGAACCUUGCCGAG